ACAAUAGUGUGGAAUGGGAAAAGUACUUUUUGGAAGGUUUUUAGAGAGCAAAGUAUUGGUGGAAGCUUUGCAACCGGAAUUUAAGGAAAAUCACCCAGGAGCUGGAGACUGAAAUUAUAGUAGGUUUUUUCGUAAUUCUGCGUUAAAGAAUAGGGCAUUAAAUAGUGCUUGAAAACUAGACCAUAGGUGGUAUAUAAGCGAAUGUAACUUCGUCCUAUUU
This 220-nucleotide non-coding RNA is filed under the name Clostridium felsineum. RNAcentral's name for it is "Clostridium roseum T-box sequence". It matches the Rfam family "T-box leader". Rfam says of the family: Uncharged tRNA acts as the effector for transcription antitermination of genes in the T-box leader family. T-boxes are found upstream of many aminoacyl-tRNA synthetase genes and some amino acid biosynthetic genes usually in Gram-positive bacteria. Lineage: Bacteria; Bacillati; Bacillota; Clostridia; Eubacteriales; Clostridiaceae. The record is from RNAcentral.